GCCUAACACAUGCAAGUCGAGCGGAAACGACACUAACAAUCCUUCGGGUGCGUUAAUGGGCGUCGAGCGGCGGACGGGUGAGUAAUGCCUAGGAAAUUGCCUUGAUGUGGGGGAUAACCAUUGGAAACGAUGGCUAAUACCGCAUAAUGCCUACGGGCCAAAGAGGGGGACCUUCGGGCCUCUCGCGUCAAGAUAUGCCUAGGUGGGAUUAGCUAGUUGGUGAGGUAAUGGCUCACCAAGGCGACGAUCCCUAGCUGGUCUGAGAGGAUGAUCAGCCACACUGGAACUGAGACACGGUCCAGACUCCUACGGGAGGCAGCAGUGGGGAAUAUUGCACAAUGGGCGAAAGCCUGAUGCAGCCAUGCCGCGUGUAUGAAGAAGGCCUUCGGGUUGUAAAGUACUUUCAGUUGUGAGGAAGGGGGUAGCGUUAAUAGCGCUAUCUCUUGACGUUAGCAACAGAAGAAGCACCGGCUAACUCCGUGCCAGCAGCCGCGGUAAUACGGAGGGUGCGAGCGUUAAUCGGAAUUACUGGGCGUAAAGCGCAUGCAGGUGGUUCAUUAAGUCAGAUGUGAAAGCCCGGGGCUCAACCUCGGAACUGCAUUUGAAACUGGUGAACUAGAGUACUGUAGAGGGGGGUAGAAUUUCAGGUGUAGCGGUGAAAUGCGUAGAGAUCUGAAGGAAUACCAGUGGCGAAG
Molecule: ribosomal RNA, 695 nt
Filed under: Vibrio sp. UCH-03
Lineage: Bacteria; Pseudomonadati; Pseudomonadota; Gammaproteobacteria; Vibrionales; Vibrionaceae
Description: bacterial SSU rRNA
Rfam family: Bacterial small subunit ribosomal RNA
Source: RNAcentral